Long non-coding RNA from Populus nigra (black poplar), 1408 nucleotides. RefSeq lists it as uncharacterized. The transcript has 2 exons. The record is from RefSeq and is a predicted model, not a curated record. Lineage: Eukaryota; Viridiplantae; Streptophyta; Magnoliopsida; Malpighiales; Salicaceae.
UAUCACACUCUAAAUUAUAGAUUUAAGGUAUGGUGCUUUAUGAAUUAGUUUGGGGUUGGGGUUGUUUAGAGUUUGUUUUAUGUUAAAUUUGAGGUUGAGUUUAGGGUAAAAUCAUAUUGGAUGUAUUAUGACACAAAAGCUGCCAGCCUCUGUUUCAAAACUGAAGUUUCUACCUUUCUCCCCUCUCUGUUUUCCCAUCACAAACAGAAGUUAGAUUCCUGCUUUUUCAUUGAUGGAAUCACGAGCAACGUCCUGACUGGAAAAUCAUCAAUGAAACACCUGCGAGAUGGGCUGCACACCUGGCAAUUAACAAGACACUUUGCAGACCCUCCUCUUCAAUCACUGUCCUCUUCCGCUCUACCUGGCACCUGGCUUGCUUGAUUGUCUGUAAAAAUCCUUUCAUUGCAAGCUGCUCUCCAUGCAAGUGAAACGGUUCCCUCUUUGGUUGUUUCUGUCUCUUUUUGGACAAGAACAAGUAUCCAAUACCUUGUGGCAGUGGCAGAGUAUGGCAACCAAGAAGGAAAAGCUUCAGUUUCCACCAGAGACUCAGCCACAACAGCCAGGCAAAUAAUAUCCCAUGCACAUGCACCUACUUCCACAACACAUCAACCCUGACUACAAGCCCUCUAACAAGCUUCAAGUUCACCAUUGUUCUGCACUUCAGUUUUUCUGUUUACUUAUCGUUUUCCAAUCGGAACAGCAGAUGAAAGAUAUUCAAUUUCGUGGCAGGGAAAGGUUGCUCUGUUUGCUAUCAUUUUGCACUAGAGGGGCCUUUACAUAUGUAGAAGGCAUAGAGGAUAGAUAUAAGGUUGACGCCGUGAUACUUCGGGCAAUACCUUCAGACGUUUCACGUUAGCAUCGAAGAUAAUUGCAAGAGUGUUGUUGAUCAUGUAGUGCGCGAAUAUGGGCGGAUAGAUAUUCUGGUGAACAAUGCAGCUGUACAACAUUAUAGUACAACACUGGAAGAGGUCACCGAGGCUUGGCUUGAGAGGCUGUUUAGAACCAACAUCUUUGGUUACUUCUUCCUGAACAAGUAAGAGAGAAAAACUGCGGAAACAAUUUGCCUAUUGCUUUGAUCUAUUUGUUUCUAAUUGGUAUAAAGGCAUUGUUUGAAGCAUAUGAAAGCAGGAAGUUGUGUUAUCAACUCAACAUCUAUUGCUGCCUAUGGAGGAAGUGCAGAGUUGCUGGACUACAGUUCAACUGAGGGUGGUGUUAUUGUCAAUGCUUGAUAUUGCUUGCUGCUCUUUUGGCUCGCCAUGGAAGUAUGGUUUAUUGCAGAAAUGACUGGUGAAUUGCGCUUGGCAAAUUACUAGGAAUGAGGUUGUAAAUUAGAUUUUCCCUUCUGUUUACAAAUCUAACGAAUUUGCACAAAACUAUAAUAAAUAAUAAUCUAGAGGUCGGUUUGUUU